Molecule: long non-coding RNA, 956 nt
Filed under: Anas platyrhynchos platyrhynchos (common mallard)
Lineage: Eukaryota; Metazoa; Chordata; Aves; Anseriformes; Anatidae
Description: lncRNA (ENSAPLG00000027262.1)
Source: RNAcentral
AUAUGGAGUGCUUCCAUGAAGUUCCCCAAAUCAUGCAUGUGAAUGUUCCAGAAAAAAAAAAAAAAAAUGUAGUCACAAUACAGUGGCUGUGCUAACAAUUUAAUGGUAGGAGCCAGUGACCUGCCAUGUCAUGUUUCCUAGUUGAGUUCACAGCCACAGUCUAAAGCAGCAUAAAAUGACUCAUCUGUAGUAGCAGAAACAGGGAAGCUUUGCCACAGUUUUUAGCACGGUGAUCUACUGCCAGAGGUGAGAGGAUUGUUAGGCACAGCCUUGCCAGCACAACAGAGUGUUCCCAGGCAACAUCCUACCAAUGCCUGAUUGCAUUCUACAAACAUUGUCUUUUCCAGCUUAUGGGCCUCCCCAGCAAUUCAAACUAUUAAUAAUCAUCGUGUUUUUCUGGUGUUUUAUCCACCUCAUUUUAAACAAUUUAGUCACUCUACUUGUGUGCUUGCUGUAUGGUGUAAUUACUGAAGGUCACAGCAAAAGCCUGAAGCAGAAGCAGCAUCAAGCUCAACCAGUAAGGCCCCCAAUUGACAUCAGUUGACCUGCUUUUGUUGAAGUCAGUGAAGCCAGCAACAGUUGAAGGCUUUGCUCAUUUUCCCUAAUUAUUUCUGAUUUAAUCACUGCAACCUUUUAAGGACCACCACAGCUGGGAGCUGCACAAGAAAUGACAAUACUCUACCCAAACAAUGAGUGCAAUAACGUGCCAGAUGAAUUCAGGUGCUCUAAGUUCAGGCAAAGCAGAUGGUAUGAGUCUGAAAAGGAGAUGGAGACAAUUUGAAGAUUCACAGUUAAUCAGUGAGAAAGGAAAUAAUCUACAUCUGAGAGCUGAUUGUGGCCCAGUCCUGCACCUUUCCCUGGCAAUGAUCCAUGCAGGUGUCAAAGGAAAUCCUACCUGUACAGAGAGAAGCACAAGGCAUGCUUAUUAUUCAGUUAGAGGAACUGUCUUUUUUUUU